GAUGAUAUAGCUCAGUAGUAAAGCAUUUGUCUGGUAUGCAUGAGGCCCUGGCUUUAAUUCCCAGUACCACA
RNAcentral lists this transfer RNA (71 nucleotides) under Cavia porcellus (domestic guinea pig). It matches the Rfam family "tRNA". From Rfam's summary of the family: Transfer RNA (tRNA) molecules are approximately 80 nucleotides in length. Their secondary structure includes four short double-helical elements and three loops (D, anti-codon, and T loops). Lineage: Eukaryota; Metazoa; Chordata; Mammalia; Rodentia; Caviidae. The record is from Rfam by way of RNAcentral.